UGCCAAAGCCUUUUAUAACAACUGGGGCUGAGUCAGCUGCUGGAGCACUGCAGAACAGGGUCUCAGGGGCUGUUUUUGUGCUGCUGACAUUGAUGGACCUUUCCAGUUGAUAGAACAGGUUUUAAUCAGCAUCUAAUAUUGUCUUCUGAAUGAAAUGUUGUGAAGGCACUGCACACGAAGAAUAUCUCUGGGGAAGAAAAACAUGGUUAUGAAUUUGAAGAGAGAGAAUUAAAUUCAUAUCUUCUCCCAGCCAUUCUCCAUUGCCCUGGCAAUUCUGCUGUUGGUUUGUUUUGGGCUUUUUUCCCUUCAAUUUUACUGUUUCACAGACGGUUCAGCAAUGAGAACCAUGGAAUACCAAGGAGACCACAGAGGAUUAUGUGUUCCUGGAGUGUUGAGCCA
Molecule: long non-coding RNA, 399 nt
Filed under: Parus major (Great Tit)
Lineage: Eukaryota; Metazoa; Chordata; Aves; Passeriformes; Paridae
Description: lncRNA (ENSPMJG00000012129.1)
Source: RNAcentral